Cavia porcellus (domestic guinea pig) is the source of this 191-nucleotide small nuclear RNA. RefSeq annotates it as U2 spliceosomal RNA. The record is from RefSeq and is a predicted model, not a curated record. Lineage: Eukaryota; Metazoa; Chordata; Mammalia; Rodentia; Caviidae. The transcript has a single exon.
AUCUCUUCUUAGCCUUUUGGCAAAGAUCAAGGGCAGCAUCUGUUCUUACCAAUUUAAUGUCAGAUGUGCCUUCUCUCAAGGACAGCAUAGGAAAUGGAGUUUUGGAGCUGGGAGACUGGAAUAGGAACUAGCUCCACUCUGUGCAGGGACCUGGAUGGAAUAGCAGUGCUUCCAGGAGCAGUAGAUCUCCU